RNAcentral lists this non-coding RNA (45 nucleotides) under Schistosoma mattheei. Lineage: Eukaryota; Metazoa; Platyhelminthes; Trematoda; Strigeidida; Schistosomatidae. The record is from RNAcentral.
AUCUAACUGACCAGUCCCAAAAAGGACGAAAUUCGCGUCCUGGAU